Molecule: long non-coding RNA, 675 nt
Filed under: Lingula anatina
Lineage: Eukaryota; Metazoa; Brachiopoda; Lingulata; Lingulida; Lingulidae
Description: uncharacterized LOC106157603, transcript variant X1
Source: RNAcentral
UUAUAUAAAGAAUUAAAAGAUGUACUUGUAUAUUUCAAUUCAUAGAAUUUUACUUGAUUUCUAUUUCAUGGUAAAUAUGUCUGCUGAAAAGAAUCAACUGUGUAUCUAACUUACGAAGUAUGUUUGUGCAUUAAAUUCUAGGGCUUUGUUACAUGUGUUAUCAUAACACAAACAGUUAAGGACAACUGAGCUUGUAGACAGCUUCAUUAGAAAUUUCUUACCCAGAAUCAAAGAUUUUACAUCCUAGGCCUGGAUGUGAACCUUGACCUGGACAAUCUUACAGACAAUAAUAGAAGAGUCACCUGAAAUUGCACAGGCAAAUUCAUCAGAUUCAGAUCCUGUCCUGCCAUCUUCAGGUAGACGCAGUAGUGGAUAUCCUGGCAAACCUUUAUUGGACUUAGAGCCACCUUGGGACAAUCCCCCACAACAAAUGUGCAUCUUAGGCUUGGCAAUCUCAGUCAGUUUUGUAGGAAAGGAGGAUUGGCACCACUGAAUUGACAAAUAUUGACAAUUGACAGUUUAGUCACACUAAACUAUAGUGGCAUGUUGCUUCAAGUUACCACACUUAUUCUAAGAUUGCUGAAUUAUCAUUACUGUAGGAGACCCUGGAUCUCUCAACCAGAAGAAGAAACUUGGGGAUCAAUCAGUUAUAAGAUUAAAAUCUGUGGAACACUA